CAAUAGCCCCACAAUCCCCCCCCUCCCCUCACUCCCCCGACCUGCCCUUCCGUGGAUUUUGCGCUCUCUCCGCCCUGUCUUCCCUGAACUGCCCGGAGCGCAAGAUGGCGCAGAAGUCGCUGCGGAGCAAGUCGAGGCACAAGAGCGCAGGCGCUCUGCGCAAGUCCGUGGGCGAGGCGAAGAGGAAGUCCACGUUCACAAAGGCCAAAAAGUCGCCAGAGGCGAAGGCUAGGGCAAACUACAUUAGCGCUGUCGAGGCCGCCAUGACAUCACGCGUGCCCUCCGAUCAAAGGUCGAAGCUGUCGAUUGUGAAGUCCAGCGGCCCUAUGGGGAAUAAGAAGAAGCAUAUGAAGAAACCUUUGACCCGUGGUCGCAAGCGCAAGGGAGACUAGUACGAUAUGAACACAGCAAAUGAUUCGAUGUCAAGGGAAGUGCCGAGGCAGAGAAGCGAUGGCGCAUGCUUGUGCGCAGUGUGUGCUGGUGUGUGCGUGUGCGUGCCUCGGGUUGCGAAUCCGCCUUUCGUGCCUCCCUUCGGUCUGGCUCUCUCUUCUGCACGUGUGCUUGAACCUUACAGUAGCGCCGCAUCGGUGUGCGCAUGGAUCGCUCUCGCCCCUCUCUCCAAUAGAGUGCCCCUAUGACGUGAGGGGACUCUUGACGGGAAGAGAAGUUCUCCAGCUGCCGAUGUUGCUGAGACAUGUGUGCCUACGGAGGCGCCAGCACGUAUCGUGGGGCUACAUAUGCUUUCUGUAGAGACUUGCGACGGCCUCGUACGUGCAUG
This 778-nucleotide unclassified non-coding RNA is filed under the name Leishmania donovani. RNAcentral describes it as "gene:LdHU3.28.0810(CDS-product:hypothetical_prote in_conserved)". The record is from RNAcentral. Lineage: Eukaryota; Euglenozoa; Kinetoplastea; Trypanosomatida; Trypanosomatidae.